AUACGUAGGAUCCGAGCGUUAUCCGGAUUUAUUGGGUUUAAAGGGUGCGCAGGCGGCCAUUUAAGUCAGCGGUUAAAUCGUGGGGCUCAACCCCAUUCUGCCGUUGAUACUGGGUGGCUUGAUUGCGGUCGAGGUUGGCGGAAUUCGUUGUGUAGCGGUGAAAUGCAUAGAUAUCACGAAGAACUCCGAUCGCGAAGGCAGCUCACCGGGCCGGAACUGACACUGAUGCUCGAAAGUGCGGGUAUCAAACAGGAUUAGAUACCCUGGUAGUCCGCACAGUAAACGAUGAAUACUCGCUGUUUGCGAUACACUGUAAGCGGCCAAGCGAAAGCGUUAAGUAUUCCACCUGGGGAGUACGCCGGCAACGGUGAAACUUAAAUGAAUUGGCGGGG
This 392-nucleotide ribosomal RNA is filed under the name uncultured bacterium. RNAcentral describes it as "partial 16S ribosomal RNA". It matches the Rfam family "Bacterial small subunit ribosomal RNA", at positions 523 to 918 of the family's 1533-position model. The record is from RNAcentral.